Molecule: non-coding RNA, 236 nt
Organism: Pelobates cultripes (western spadefoot toad)
Lineage: Eukaryota; Metazoa; Chordata; Amphibia; Anura; Pelobatidae
Source: the annotation of a GenBank genome assembly
GUGCCAUCUAGUGAUAGAAACAAACAAUACCAUAUACCUAAAUAAAAAAUAAAUAAAGGAAAGGAAAAUGGAAGGACACAAUAAUUGUAUAGAUUAAUUGUAAAUAAAGUAUAGGGAAAUUACAGCAAUACAACGAUAAACUAUUUGUUAGUGUAAACUUUAUCUGAGAGGGAUGAAGGUUUUGUGGUUUCACAUAGAACUAAUCUAAAGGCUCAGAAAGGUCCAGAUCAUUGCAG